AUUGAACGCUGGCGGCAGGCUUAACACAUGCAAGUCGAGCGGGGUGAUGGUGCUUGCACUAUCACUUAGCGGCGGAAGGGUGAGUAAUGCUUAGGAAUCUGCCUAUUAGUGGGGGACAACAUCUCGAAAGGGAUGCUAAUACCGCAUACGUCCUACGGGAGAAAGCAGGGGAUCACUUGUGACCUUGCGCUACUAGAUGAGCCUAAGUCGGAUGAGCUAGUUGGUGGGGUAAAUGCCUACCAAGGCGACGAUCUGUAGCGGGUCUGAGAGGAUGAUCCGCCACACUGGGACUGAGACACGGCCCAGACUCCUACGGGAGGCAGCAGUGGGGAAUAUUGGACAAUGGGGGGAACCCUGAUCCAGCCAUGCCGCGUGUGUGAAGAAGGCCUUAUGGUUGUAAAGCACUUUAAGCGAGGAGGAGGCUCUUUUGGUUAAUACCCAAGAUGAGUGGACGUUACUCGCAGAAUAAGCACCGGCUAACUCUGUGCCAGCCGCCGCAGUAA
RNAcentral lists this ribosomal RNA (503 nucleotides) under uncultured bacterium. RNAcentral describes it as "partial 16S ribosomal RNA". It matches the Rfam family "Bacterial small subunit ribosomal RNA", at positions 30 to 523 of the family's 1533-position model. The record is from RNAcentral.